Molecule: ribosomal RNA, 494 nt
Filed under: uncultured bacterium
Lineage: Bacteria
Description: partial 16S ribosomal RNA
Rfam family: Bacterial small subunit ribosomal RNA
Source: RNAcentral
GACGAACGCUGGCGGCGUGCCUAAUACAUGCAAGUCGAACGGUUUAGUUCCAAGAGGCCAGACUCUUGGAACUAAGCAGUGGCGGACGGGUGAGUAACACGUAGGCAACCUACCUGUCAAACCGGGAUAACCUCGGGAAACCGAAGCUAAACCCGGAUAAGCUCCUUUUUCGCAUGAAGGGGGAGUGAAAAGGUGCGACCUGAUGACAGAUGGGCCUGCGGCGCAUUAGCUAGUAGGUAGGGUAACGGCCUACCUAGGCGAUGAUGCGUAGCCGACCUGAGAGGGCGUACGGCCACACUGGGACUGAGAUACGGCCCAGACUCCUACGGGAGGCAGCAGUAGGGAAUCUUCGGCAAUGGGCGAAAGCCUGACCGAGCAACGCCGCGUGAGUGAGGAAGGCCUUCGGGUUGUAAAACUCUGUUGUUUGGGAAGAAGGGAAAGGGUAGGACCCUUAGGUGACGGUACCAAACGAGAAAGCCCCGGCUAACUACGUG